RNAcentral lists this long non-coding RNA (394 nucleotides) under Vigna radiata. RNAcentral describes it as "long non-coding RNA (VRAD_LNC007129)". Lineage: Eukaryota; Viridiplantae; Streptophyta; Magnoliopsida; Fabales; Fabaceae. The record is from RNAcentral.
UGAAUUCGAUUGGAGUAUGGUAAUGAGCUGUGAGGUGUCUCUGACAAUAACUGCAAUUGAUGACAUUACGUCUCAUAGAAUUAACCAAUACUAAUAAGAACACAGAAAGUUACUAUAUAAUAAGAUAGUAGAAGAGAGUGACAUAAGAUUAUGAAUUUAGAAUUUACAUUUAUCUAUUUCAUCUUUGAUCUUUGAUCUUUCAUCUUUGUCUGUCAUGGCUAUUCUUUUCUCUUGUGCCCACCUUCACAUGUGACUCUUCUUCCAUUUCCCUGCUUUCCUUUUUCUUCCUUUCCUCUGUUCGAGGUGUUCUUCACAUCUUUCAUUGCAAAAAGCAAACACACAAAAUGUAAGCUUGGCUAUCUAAACUCAGCACAUGCCACCAAUUUCAUUUUCU